ACCGGCUCCUCAAGGUGAAUCUCCUUCAUCUUCUGCAUCAGAUGUUGAUAACUUGAAUAAUCAGGCAGCAGCGGAUAAGUUUACUUUGCUCAGGGGUACUGGGACUCAUGUUGUCAGUAACCAAGUUAUAUCUGCUCGACAUCGCUCAAAAUUUGCCCGUCUUCUUGACUUUACUCAGGAUGUAAAUUAUGCAAUGGAGGCCUCUAGAAAAUGCCAGAGUGCUUUCGCAGGUGCUAUCAUGAUCAUGGAAGAGGCACGGAAUGGGGACUGCUUAACUUCUAUGAGGAGGGUAAUUGAUUUGAGCUUCCAGGAUGUAGAUGAGCUUGUAGGUCUGGUUUGGACUGCAAGAAAAGCCAUAAGUCGCGCUCAUCUCAGUGGUGCUAGAGAUUAACUUGAUACUGUAUAUAAUGUAAGUUUUUGGUUUGGCUUCUCUACCAAUAUGGCAUCCGGAAAGGAAGGGGAAAAAGGGCAUCUUCAUAGGCUGACACUUUGAAACCUGCGAAGAGGCAGGUCGCCCUUCUGUACAUGUGUACAAAAUGAGAUUGAUUAGCAAAUUUUGUAAUCUAUUUUGAAUUUGCUCAGGUUCUUCUUGAUGUGGAAUGGGCACAAUACUCUCACCCUCAAAUUUUUGUAGGUUAGGAAGGGGGAUGAGAUUCCUGCUAUUUAACUGACGCAGGAUGCUCAUUUUAUUAUAGUUCUAUGCUAUAUUCUUUGCUCCACUGAGUUGGAGCCCAGGAAAAUAGAGUCUGGAAAUGUCAGGCAACAAUUUUUGAGGGCAUUGAAUACUCAUAUAGUUAUAAUUGGUCUAUUUUUUUUAUACAAAAGAAAUAGACUCUAUCAUCUUAUGGAA
Molecule: long non-coding RNA, 850 nt
Organism: Neltuma alba
Lineage: Eukaryota; Viridiplantae; Streptophyta; Magnoliopsida; Fabales; Fabaceae
Exons: 3
Source: RefSeq, a predicted model, not a curated record